GGUUGGAGGGUUAUGAGAAACUUCAACACCUUUAAUUUUCUUGUGUAUAUGUGGCAGCAAUUUUUCAGAUGUAAUCUUGAAGGAUCGAGAACAAAACAAAGGCCUCAGAGCGCGCUGCGUGGAGCUUGACCCGUUAGUCAAGGGUCACUUGUUAUCCAGUGAUGCUGGACGAGGUGGUUGGAGCACAGACGGGCCCUCAACACAACCCGACCCCUGUGGAGCCGUCGCUGAAAGAAAAACGCUCUCCAAUGUUCCCGAGUCCAGUCAGGCGCCCAGUAUUUAUCAAACCACCAAACCCCAUGAAGUCUUGUCUUUCUUCUUCUGUACCAGUAGGAAUCAGGGACUCUUGUACUGGUUCCUGAUUCAUGCGCAUGUUGACACAACACCAGGCACAGAGGGAACCAGAAUCAGCUGUUAUAAGAGCAUCAAUUGUUCACAUAUCAGUAUUAAAAUAUCAAUAACUGAAUCACUGGACAUCAAAUCCUGAUAGUAGUAAUCACAAGGAAACGAUAUGCUUUCUAAAGUAUAAGGCCUUCUACUCAGUUUGUAUUGUAAACGGACACAUUUGAAAGAAUUUUUUUGACUCUGGUGUUUAAUAGAUCGCAUCAUGUUAGGUUUACAGUGGAGAUAUUGCACAUUGUUUUCCAAAGGCGUCUUUUGUCCUAUAGAUGCUUUUGGGACAGUAUAAUUCAGAAUAAUUAGCAUAAUUCAGUACUUUACAGAGCUUUAGAGCCCUCUAGUGGUCACUACGUUUCAAGUAGAACACCCCCCCUUUACCAAUCUUCAUUAAAUUUUUUCUCUUUUUAAUGUUAAAUCUCUUAUUGGCUAAAAUAUAUCGUAUUUUCAAGGUAGGUGAGAUCAUAUCAUAAAAUAUCAGAAACCGCUUUUUAGUUCGGCUUAUGCAUACUUUUGUUUACUGUUAUAAAAUUGGGACUUUUAGGAUUGCUAUGCCAGAUGUCUUCCAAUUUGACGAUGUACUGUAUACAGACUUUAUUCUCGAAAUUCAAAAUGGAACAAAAAUCAAUCUUCCUCUUCUCAUUUUUUCCCUCAUGCCUGGUCGCCAAUACUCGUCCGUAGAUUUCUGAUCUGAAUGGAACAAGACGACAUGAAAAAUUAAAGAAUUUGCAUUUAAGA
This 1134-nucleotide long non-coding RNA is filed under the name Scophthalmus maximus (turbot). RNAcentral describes it as "lncRNA (ENSSMAG00000025674.1)". The record is from RNAcentral. Lineage: Eukaryota; Metazoa; Chordata; Actinopteri; Pleuronectiformes; Scophthalmidae.